GGUCAAGCUACAAAGGGCUGACGGUGGAUACCUAGGCACACAGAGGCGAUGAAGGACGUGGCGACCGACGAAAAACUCCGGGGAGCUGGCAGCAAGCAUUGAGCCGGAGAUAUCCGAAUGGGGCAACCCUUAAGGCACAUAGUUGAAUAAAUAGAUUAUGUGCAGCCAACCCAGCGAAUUGAAACAUCUUAGUAGCUGGAGGAAGAGAAAGCAAAAGCGAUUUCCCUAGUAGUGGUGAGCGAACGGGAAACAGCCUAAACCAGAUGUUUUUACAUCUGGGGUUGUGGGACAGUGACAACAGACUAGAAAGGUUAGACGAAGUAGUUGAAAGCUACACCAGAGAGGGUGAAAGUCCCGUAGUCGAAAAUUAGACUAGCUGAACUGUAUCCCGAGUAGCACGGGGCCCGUGAAAUCCCGUGUGAAUCAGCGAGGACCAUCUCGUAAGGCUAAAUACUACUGUGUGACCGAUAGUGAACCAGUACCGCGAGGGAAAGGUGAAAAGAACCCCGAAAGGGGAGUGAAAUAGAACCUGAAACCGUCAGCUUACAAGCAAUGGGAGCUCGAUUGAACGAGUGACCGUGUGCCUGUUGAAGCAUGAGCCGGCGAGUUAUAGGCAGUGGCAGGUUAAGGCGUUAAUAGCCGCAGCCAAAGCGAAAGCGAGUUUGAAAUAUAGCGUUUCGUCACUGUUUAUAGACCCGAACCCGGGUGAUCUAACCAUGUCCAGGAUGAAGCUUGGGUAACACCAAGUGGAGGUCCGAACCGACUGAUGUUGAAAAAUCAGCGGAUGAGGUGUGGUUAGGGGUGAAAUGCCAAUCGAACCCGGAGCUAGCUGGUUCUCCCCGAAAUGUGUUGAGGCACAGCGGUCGAGAUGAAGUUUGGGGGUAAAGCACUGUUUCGGUGCGGGCUGCGAGAGCGGUACCAAAUCGAGACAAACUCUGAAUACCAAACCCGUACUCGGCCAGUCAGACGGUGGGGGAUAAGCUCCAUCGUCGAGAGGGAAACAGCCCAGACCACCAGCUAAGGUCCCUAAAUGACUGCUAAGUGAUAAAGGAGGUGAGAGUGCAUUGACAACCAGGAGGUUUGCCUAGAAGCAGCCACCCUUGAAAGAGUGCGUAAUAGCUCACUGGUCAAGCGCUCUUGCGCCGAAAAUGAACGGGGCUAAGCAGUCUACCGAAGCUGUGGAAUAUGAAUAAUAUUGGUAGGGGAGCGUUCCGCGAUGGUGUGAAGCACUAGCGACAAGCAGGUGUGGACUGUGCGGAAGUGAGAAUGUCGGCUUGAGUAGCGCAAAUGUAGGUGAGAAUCCUACACCCCGAAACCCUAAGGGUUCCAGAGCCAGGCUCGUCCGCUCUGGGUGAGUCAGGUCCUAAGGCGAGGCCAAACGGCGUAGUCGAUGGAUAACGGGUGAAUAUUCCCGUACCGAUAAUUGUUGGUGCAGAGGGACGGAGAAGGCAAUCGCCAGCCGGAUGUUGGUUACCGGUUUAAGUAUUCGAGGUGUUGAGAGACGGUGAAAACGUUUCGAGCUGAGGUACGAGUACGACUCCCUACGGGGAGGAAGUGGUAGAUGUCAGGCUUCCAAGAAAAGCUCUAAACACCAUAAACAGUUGUUGCCUGUACCCGAAACCGACACAGGUAGGGAGGUUGAGUAAACCAAGGGGCGCGAGAUAACUCUCUCUAAGGAACUCGGCAAAAUUGCCCCGUAACUUCGGAAGAAGGGGUGCCACCGCAAGGUGGUCGCAGUGAAGAGUCCCAGGCGACUGUUUACCAAAAACACAGGUCUCCGCUAAGUCGUAAGACGACGUAUGGGGGCUGACGCCUGCCCAGUGCUGGAAGGUUAAGGAAGUCGGUCAGGAGUAAUCUGAAGCUGGCGACUGAAGCCCCAGUGAACGGCGGCCGUAACUAUAACGGUCCUAAGGUAGCGAAAUUCCUUGUCGGGUAAGUUCCGACCCGCACGAAAGGCGUAACGAUCUGGGAGCUGUCUCGGAGAGAGACUCGGCGAAAUAGAAUUGUCUGUGAAGAUACGGACUACCUGCACCUGGACAGAAAGACCCUAUGAAGCUUUACUAUAGCCUGGAAUUGUGUUCGGGCUUCGCUUACGCAGGAUAGGUGGGAGGCGUGGAAGUUCUGCUUGUGGGCAGGAUGGAGCCAACGGUGAGAUACCACUUUAGCGAGGCUAGAAUUCUAACCUUGACCCGUUAACCGGGUGAGAGACAGUUUCAGGGGGGUAGUUUGACUGGGGCGGUCGCCUCCUAAAAGGUAACGGAGGCGCACAAUGGUUCCCUCGGGCUGGUUGGAAAUCAGCCUUCGAGUGCAAAGGCAUAAGGGAGCUUGACUGUAAGACUUACAAGUCGAGCAGGGUGGAAACACGGUCUUAGUGAUCCGACGGUUCCGUAUGGAAGGGCCGUCGCUCAACGGAUAAAAGUUACUCUAGGGAUAACAGGCUGAUCUCCCCCAAGAGUCCACAUCGACGGGGAGGUUUGGCACCUCGAUGUCGGCUCAUCGCAACCUGGGGCGGAAGUACGUCCCAAGGGUUCGGCUGUUCGCCGAUUAAAGCGGUACGUGAGCUGGGUUCAGAACGUCGUGAGACAGUUCGGUCCAUAUCCGGUGCAGGCGUAAGAAGAUUGAGAGGAUUCCUCCCUAGUACGAGAGGACCGGGAGGGACGCACCGCUGGUGUGCCUGUUAUCGUGCCAACGGUAGACGCAGGGUAGCCAUGUGCGGAGUGGAUAACCGCUGAAAGCAUCUAAGUGGGAAGCCCACCUCAAGAUGAGUCUUCUCACUACUUAAGUAGGUAAGGUCACGGGCAGAACACCCGUUGAUAGGCGUUAAGUGGAAGUUCUGUGAGGGAUGAAGCUGAGGCGUACUAAUAGACCGAGGGCUUGACCUC
This 2882-nucleotide ribosomal RNA is filed under the name Oscillatoriales cyanobacterium USR001. RNAcentral's name for it is "Bacterial large subunit ribosomal RNA". It matches the Rfam family "Bacterial large subunit ribosomal RNA". The record is from Rfam by way of RNAcentral. Lineage: Bacteria; Bacillati; Cyanobacteriota; Cyanophyceae; Oscillatoriales.